RNAcentral lists this unclassified non-coding RNA (383 nucleotides) under fungal sp. RNAcentral's name for it is "partial internal transcribed spacer region". The stretch from base 1 to 46 matches the Rfam family "Eukaryotic small subunit ribosomal RNA", at positions 1786 to 1831 of the family's 1831-position model. The record is from RNAcentral. Lineage: Eukaryota; Fungi.
AAGUCGUAACAAGGUUUCCGUAGGUGAACCUGCGGAAGGAUCAUUAAAACGUAUCCAACGUUAACUAAUAGUGAACUCGUCUCCUCCCUUGGCACUGAGAAAUUGGAACUGUGAAAGACUUUGAUUGGGAUCCUUCACUGGGUCGGUCUGACACAGCCACUGCAUAUCUUUUUUGAUAUGUGACAAUAGUAUCAACUGCUGAGGCAAUUCUUUCUGGCGCUGCCCUCCAUCACGGGUGAGUCAGUUGGAGUGUAUACUAACCAUUAUCACCCCCUUUUUGCUAGUUGACUUUUUUAAUGUUAGUUUUUACGAAAGUAAAAUUCUACACGUUUCAUUAUAUGAAUCGUAAAAUACAACUCUUAGCAAUGGAUAUCUAGGUUCUC